Molecule: ribosomal RNA, 420 nt
Filed under: Fusobacteriota bacterium
Lineage: Bacteria; Fusobacteriati; Fusobacteriota
Description: Fusobacteria bacterium partial 16S ribosomal RNA
Rfam family: Bacterial small subunit ribosomal RNA
Source: RNAcentral
UGGGGGAUAUUGCACAAUGGGCGAAAGCCUGAUGCAGCGACGCCGCGUGGGGGAUGAAGGCCUUCGGGUUGUAAACUUCUUUUGCUCUGAACAAGGCAUGCCUUUGGGGUGUGUUGAGUGUAGGGGUUGAUUAGCGCCGGCUAACUACGUGCCAGCAGCCGCGGUAAUACGUAGGGCGCGAGCGUUGUCCGGAAUUAUUGGGCGUAAAGGGCUUGUAGGUGGCUGGUUGCGUCUGUCGUGAAAGCUCAUGGCUUAACUGUGGGUUUGCGGUGGGUACGGGCUGGCUUGAGUGCAGUAGGGGAGGCUGGAAUUCCUGGUGAAGCGGUGGAAUGCGCAGAUAUCAGGAGGAAUACCGGUGGCGAAGGCGGGUCUCUGGGCUGUUACUGACGCUGAGGAGCGAAAGCGUGGGGAGCGAACAGG